AUUGAACGCUGGCGGCAGGCUUAACACAUGCAAGUCGAGCGGGGUGAUGGUGCUUGCACUAUCACUUAGCGGCGGACGGGUGAGUAAUGCUUAGGAAUCUGCCUAUUAGUGGGGGACAACAUCUCGAAAGGGAUGCUAAUACCGCAUACGUCCUACGGGAGAAAGCAGGGGAUCACUUGUGACCUUGCGCUAAUAGGUGAGCCUAAGUCGGAUUAGCUAGUUGGGGGGGUAAAGGCCGACCAAGGCGACGAUCUGUAGCGGGUCUGAGAGGAUGAUCCGCCACACUGGGACUGAGACACGGCCCAGAAUCCUACGGGAGGCAGCAGUGGGGAAUAUUGGACAAUGGGGGGAACCCUGAUCCAGCCAUGCCGCGUGUGUGAAGAAGGCCUUAUGGUUGUAAAGCACUUUAAGCGAGGAGGAGGCUCUUUUGGUUAAUACCCAAGAUGAGUGGACGUUACUCGCAGAAUAAGCACCGGCUAACUCUGUGCCAGCCGCCGCCGUAA
RNAcentral lists this ribosomal RNA (503 nucleotides) under uncultured bacterium. RNAcentral describes it as "partial 16S ribosomal RNA". It matches the Rfam family "Bacterial small subunit ribosomal RNA", at positions 30 to 523 of the family's 1533-position model. The record is from RNAcentral.